This 329-nucleotide ribosomal RNA is filed under the name uncultured microorganism. RNAcentral's name for it is "bacterial SSU rRNA". It matches the Rfam family "Bacterial small subunit ribosomal RNA", at positions 346 to 661 of the family's 1533-position model. The record is from RNAcentral.
GUGCACCAGGCGAGAAUAGUCUACAAUGGACGAAAGUCUGAUAGUGCGACGCCGUGUGUGCGAUUAAUUCCUUCGGGAUGUAAAAGCACUUUUCUAUGAGAUAAAAGCUCUUUAGGUUAAUAGCUUAUUGAGACGGAUAUUAUUAUAGGAAUAAGCUCCGGCUAACUCCGUGCCAGCAGCCGCGGUAAUACGGAAGGAGCGAGCGUUGUCCGGAUUUACUAGGCGUAAAGGGCCAGUAGGCGACUAAUUAAGUUAUAUGUUAAAUACCCACCGGCUCAACUGUGGUCCUCGCAUGUAAUACUGGUUAGAUAGAGUACUGUAGAGGAAGG